Molecule: long non-coding RNA, 8918 nt
Organism: Cryptomeria japonica (Japanese cedar)
Lineage: Eukaryota; Viridiplantae; Streptophyta; Pinopsida; Cupressales; Cupressaceae
Exons: 2
Source: RefSeq, a predicted model, not a curated record
AUAGAACACGGUUGGAAUGAAAUCGUCCAAUAUUCAACCAAUCCAGAGGGUCGGCGGAAAAGAUAGCGUGAUAUUGAAGAUCACAUUACAGCCGUAGAUUAGUUUCCACCGCCUCAAUUCGAUGGUCCGAUUCUUUCACUCGCAUCAAAUCUCACGUAUAAAUAGCUAUUAACUCGUACCCAUUUUAUGCAAUAAUUUUUGCAGGCGGGUCAUCUGUAUGGGGGAUGUUUCUGCAACUUCUUCGGCAGGGCUCGCUCGGAUAACAAAUGGUUCAAUUCCUACAAUGGCUGUAUGGAGGAAAUUGAGUUUUUCGUUCUAUUAUUAGUGUUUUUCGAGUUUUGUCGCUAUUUAGGUUUUAGGGUUUGAUGCUUGUUCUGUUCAACAGAAAUACUUACUGGCCCUAAGCUUUUCUCUGGUUCUGACAACAAUGAUUUGCAUGCUUCUCACUGAGGUCGGGCAGAUCAAGUGUUUCCACGGCCCAUGCUUUUUCAAUUCGUAACUAUGGUGAAUUUUUUGAUUGCAAUAUAAUGAACACUGACACGAGUUAACAGAUUAUACACGAAGGAGGGACGACACCUAGCCAGAUCUCUCUCUCUUUAAUUAAGAACAUGGGGGUAUUAUUUAUUUCUGUGAUAUAAUUGUGCUGCUGUGUCACGUUUUCUUCAUGUGUAGGCCGAUUGAGUGAAAAAUUAGGUGUGUCAAAUAAAGACAUGGAUAAUUCUUAAGAAAGUACACUACGAUCUAAAUUUCUUCGUCGGCCUCGGUUUUUAUGAGACUGUCGUCUUUGCGGUUUGUUGUUGUGUAUUUUUGGUUUUCCUUUUCCCUUAUUCUCUCUUGAAGAAAGAUUUUAGUCUUUAGGAGAUCUUCCCUAACCAAGGGUUUGUUGCGUUUAUGCUAUGGAGGGGUGACCUGACCAGCUGCAGCGAAAGUGAUGCCCAAUUUAUCUUUAUCAUCGAUGAGGUGAUGAAAGACAACUGAAGUCCCGUCGUGGGAUAGUCUAACGGUAGAUAAGGUGAUGUUCAUCCGAAGGAGAAGCCAGCCAGAAUUAACGGGUUAUAAUGCUUCGAAUUUGAGUACUAUCUCUCCCUUCAAUCUCUCUUUUUCUUCACUAUAUAUUGGCCGAUUUGUAGAGAUUACUUAUUGUAGGGUAAUAAGGUAGAUUGAAUGGAACUAAAACUAGCAUAUAGUUAUAUAUGGUUUACGGUAUUUGGGGGUUUCACCAUAAUCAUUCGUGUGGUGCAACCUGGGUUGCGAGUUUGGCAGAUUGACCGUGUUUUUAUUUUCUAGCAAUGAGGGUUUAACAACGAUCAUUGAAGCAUGAUGGUUUGUAAGUUUUAUGCGUAAUUUGGAACCUAUUUUAACAUAAAAAUUUGAUAUUAUCCAAAAUAAUUUGAAAUAUUUAUCUUGUAAGCUUUCAUGGAAAGCAAUAGAUUUUCUUUGCUUACGGUUGGUAUGGCGUCAAGGGUGUUGUGUCAUCAUAGGUCUUGAGCGAAAAUAUUGAUGGCCGUGGAGUGAAAUCACCCCUGGUAAUCUGUAAGUAACUUCUUAUUAGCAUAAGUUUUCUUAACAUUUUAACUUGCUCCUACAGUUGCGUUAAGUAAGGAUUAAAACAGUUGUAUGGGGGAAAGAUUCAGAAGGUAAUCAUGGUACGGUAUGUGAAGAAACUUUAUUGGUUUGUGCAUCUGUGCAUCUUAAUAGUGGAUGCGUACUUCAUUAGGAUCUUUGAAACGCUAAUUGCUUAUAUACCUUUUUCACCCUAAAUUUUAUCAUUUGCAUUUACUUUUAUGCUAGGAUGUAGCCGUUUAUUUUCGGCAGGUAGUUUCGAACAGUGGAAAUCAGAGACUGAGGGACAGAUGUGUGCGCUUCAUUAGUUGUUAUCGAUUACCAUUAAGUAAAUUAGAGUUUAGUAAGUAAGUUUGUUUCAGCUUAUUUGGUUGAGAGGUCUUAACUUUGUGGAGAACUGAGGACUCAAAUCUGUUUUCCCUAGGUAAGAAAGAGUGCUCCAGAGUGCACAUGGAUUUCAGCUAUGGAAACAAACAGUUAAAUUUCGACGUUGGUUUGUGUAUUUGUAUGGUGGAGGUUUUGGUGUAUCUGAAUGGUGGAUGUCUACUUCAUUACAGGCAGGGAUCUUUGAAGCCCUAAUCUGUGGUACCAUAGUCACCUUUAUGUAUCAUUUGCAUUUACUUUUAAGCUAGGAUGCAGUCGUUUAUCUUCGGCAGGUAGUUCCGAGCAGUGGAAAUCAGAGACUGCGGAACAGAGUUGUGCACUUGAUAGCCGAUUACCAUCAAGUAAAUCCAUGUUUUGUAAGUGAAAAGGUGGAUGUCUACUGUAUUAAGGAAGGGAUCUUUGAAACUUCGGCAGGUAGUUCCGAGCAGUGGAAAUCAGAGAAUGCGAAGCAGGGUUUGCGCCUGAUCGCCGAUUACCAGUAAGAUGGUGGAUGUCUACUUCAUUGCAGGAAGGGAUCUUUGAAAAACCCUAAUCGGUUGUACCAUAGUCAACUUUAUAUAUCAUUUGCAUUGGAUCUUUGAAAAACCCUAAUAGGUUGUACCAUAGUCAACUUUAUAUAUCAUUUGCAUUUACUUUUAAGCUAGGAUUUAGUAGUUUAUCUUCGGCAGGUAGCUCGGAGCAGUGGAAAUCAGAGACUGCGGAACAGAGAUGUGCGCUUGAUCGCCGAUUACCACUAGUUAAAUCGAAGUUUAGGUAGUUCGGAGCAGUGGAAAUCAGAGACUGCGGAACAGAGAUGUGCGCUUGAUCGCCGAUUACCACUAAGUAAAUCAAAGUUUUGUAAGUAAAAUGUUGUAUGUCGUUUAUUACAGGAAGGGAUAUUUGUAACCCUAAUCGGUUGUAGCAUAGCCAACGUUGUAUCAUUUGCAUUUACUUUUAAGCUAGGAUGUAGUCGGUUAUCUUCUGCAGGUAUUUACGAACAGUGGAAAUCAGAGACUGCGGAACAGAGUUGUGCUUGAUUGCCGAUUAAACCACCAAGUAAAUCAAAGUUUUGUAAGUAGAUUCGUUUCAGUUUAUCUCGUCAUGAGGUCUAGGACACAAAUCUGUUGUCUUCCUUAGGUAAGAUAGAAUGCUCCAGAGUGCAUAUGGAUUUCAGCUAUGGAAACACACAAUCAAAUUUCGACAGUGGGAUUCCAAAUUUUUUUUUUACUUUAUUUUAAAUUGAGUGCUGGGUUUUUAAAUGUUAGCAUUUGACUUAUUUGAUACCGACUGAAGUUAAUGCAGUGAAGUAACUGGAUUUACGUGUACGGUGCCUAGUAGCUCUCACAGCCUAACAAUCAAUGUGAAUUAAAGUGGUGCAAUAUACAUGUUCCCUUUCGUCCAUUGUAAACUGUUAUCUGUUCUUGAGGUAAUUAGAAAGCUUUUGACUGGUUUAGCUGCAGUUUUUAUAAUUUUGAGCCUUUUUUUAUUGAGAGGUGGGAACUGAGAAGAAGCUGUUGUAUGUUGUAAGUGGAUUGUGGCAGGCUUGUAGUUUUGUUUUCUUGCAUGGAAUGGUGUAAAGUCUUAAUUUGAUAAAGGAUGAAUCAAUUCUUUUAUUUUUGGGUUAAUAGGUAUAUUACAGGGAAGAGAGUGCCCACGGUGGAGAUGGAUUUGGUGUUUUAAUCUAUUAAACAAUGCAACUUCUAGUUUUGGAAGGAGGAUAAGAACUUCUUAACUCACUGAUUUGAAUUCAAAGCUGUCGCUGCAAUUAUUUUUCUGCUUUUGUUUUCUUGCAUUGAACGAUGUGAAGUCUUAACUUGAUAAAGUAUGAAUCAAUUCUUCUAUUUUUGGGUUAAUAGGUAUGUACAUGGAAGAGAGUGCCCACAAUGGACAUGGAUUUGGUGUUUCAAGAUAUAAAACACUUCAACUUCUAGUAUUUGAAGGAGGAUAAGAACUUCUUAACUCCUUGAUUUGAAUUCAAAGUUGUCUCUACAAUUAGUUAAAAGAAUUCAUUUGAUCUUAUUUUUGUUAGAAUAUUGCCAUUGUUUACAGAAAACAAUGUUCUGUCUAUAUAUGGAAGAGAGCGUCCACAGUGGACAUGGAUUUGGUGUUUCAAGCUAUAAAACAAUGAAACAUCUAGUUUUGGAAGGAGAAUAAGAACUUCUACUCCCUGAUUUAAAUUCAAAGUUGUUUCUGCAAUUAGUUUAAAGAAUUGAUUUGAUCUUAGUUUUGUUAGAAUUUUGUCAUUAUUUAUUUAAAUUCAAAAUUGUUUCUGCAAUUAGUUUAAAGAAUUGAUUUGAUCUUAGUUUUGUUAGAAUUUUGUCAUUAUUUAUUUAAAUUCAAAGUUGUUUCUGCAAUUAGUUUAAAGAAUUGAUUUGAUCUUAGUUUUGUUAGAAUUUUGUCAUUAUUUAAAAAAACAAUGUUUUCUGUCUAUAACAGAUGUUGAGGCAGUAGCCAACUUAAACACAGCGUUGAACAGUCGUUGUAUGAUCUGACCUAUGUUAUUACAGUGAAGUAACAAGAAUUAAGUGGUACAAUUUUUAUUUCUUUGCUAGAAGUAAUAAUGUAGUGCAAUGUCUUGUUUCUUACAACGCCUGUUUUCUUUUCUUUGUACCCACUGUAGUGUGUUUUGUUGGAGUACUUGAUUGGUCCAGGUUUCUGAAGGAAGGUUGACGUAAUGAUUAAUCUGCUUAAAAAGGUUUUUUAGUCGGGUUAAUAGGUAUGUACAUGGAAGAGAGUGCCCACAGUGGACAUGGAUUUGGUGUUUCAAGCUAUAAAACAAUUCAACUUUAGUUUUGGAAACUGGUUUGAAUUUAAAGUUGUCUAAAAUUAGUUAAAAAAUUCAUUUGAUCUUUAGUUUUGUUAGAAUUCUGUCAUUGUUUACAGAAAGCAUCGUUCUGUCUAUAAAAACUAUUUUUGAGUCACUCUUAUCUGGAAGUGAUUGGAAGUCUUCACGUAGCAGAGAAGGGUUAAGUUGUAAUUAUAUCGAAGGAAGGGUGUAAGUUGUAAUUUAAUGUGUUUCUCUUUGAGGAAUUUUGUUCUUAAUAGAGCUUGAUUUCGAGGGGGAGCGUAUCAUUUGUGUAAACCAGCCUACUUUACUGUGUAGUCCUAGCAUCAGCAGUUGGGGUGGAAAACAAUAUGAAUGGGCUUUUGAGUUAUUGAAAUUAUCAAUUACGUGUAAAGCAAAUAGAAGUUAAAUUUCUUAUUAAGAUUUUAGAGGAGUUAGAUUUUUAUUCCCAUCGAACAAAUGGGAGAAACAGAAAAACAACUAACAUUUCAUUUCCCUUCUUUUUUAUCUUAGGCUUACAUGAAAGGAUUUUACAGGGAAGAGAGCGUUUUGCAGUGGAGUUGUUUUAUAAAUGUUUUGAUCCUGCCCUUUUCUUCAGUGUUGAAUACAACAACAAUUUGGAAAUAGGUAGUGUGAUGUUUAUACGCAUUCUUUAUAUAGAUUGGUGAGAUAUGCUUAUCAUUGUUAUCGUACUCUAUAGGGAGGGUGGUGCUUGAUUAUAUUAUACCAGUUCAAGUAAAUUUUUAAGGAUAUACGUCUCCAUUUACUCUGAACUCUGGUUUCUUUUUCGCAUAAUUGCGAAUUGCAGUCACUUGUGUAUUGACUCUUACCUAGGUUAUUGCGGUGAAGCGGUAUGUUGUUUUUUCGCGUUUACUUUUGGCAGUAGAAAGUCGUCUACAGUCAAUUUUACACGACAGGUUUGUUCGUGAGUUGACGAGCUUAUUUGAGUGAUAUCGUACACAUUGUUUUAUUGGGUGUACUGCUAUUUGAAACAUGUAUAGCUUUAUAAUUUCUGCAUUUUUUAACCCUUUUUUCUUACUGUGUUGUAUCUAGUGUUACUCUUUUAUCUAUUGUUAAGCAAACAGUAUGUCAUGUUGGUAUUUAAUCCUUUCAGAUAGUCGUUAUGUUUCAGCUUUUGCAAAUUUUUUGCUGAACUGUUGAGUCGCAAUAGAUCUUGCUCUUCUGGAGAGCAUUUCUCUUGUCCGUAAGAGGUAGAUCAGCUUGAUAGUUAGGUGGAUGAUAGAGUCUAUGUAUACUUCAACAUAACCUGGAGCCUUAUCUGGAUAGUAGGAUGAAGCUGAAAAUUGAAUGUAAGGUUAUUAUAAAGAUCUGAAAGUUUGUUCGAAAGAUUAUUGUCGACAGUCUAGUUGAUAAAAUUAUUACUAGUGUUCUAUUCCCAUUGAACAGAUGCGAGAAAUGACAAUAGGAAACAUUUCAUUCUGGAUAAAUGUUGAAUUCAUUUUUUAAUUUUUCGGCUUAUAACUGAUAUGUAUUCAGCGCUGUCUUUGAUGACAGCCUACAAUUUUUGCAGUGGGAUGUCAAUUUCACUUCCUGAUAUGUGAAUACAGUGCUGUCUCUGAUGAAAGAAUUCUUUCUAAAGUUUUGUAAGCAUUGUACCUUUAGUUAAUGUGAAACGUUGUACUUUGUUUGUACAGAUGAGUUGGCAAGCCCAACGUGGCUUUGCGUAUGCGCGGAAUUGGCUAUAUGCUUAAUCAUUCAUUAGUAGCCCUUUUCUGCUGGGUGUUAAGGAUUUGUUACAGUUUUCUCGAGCGGUGUCCAAUUUUGUCAGUAGGAUGUCAAUUUCUUUUCCUGGAUGUGAAUUCAGCGGUGUCUUUGAAUCUAAGUCUUUUAAAAGUUUUUGGAAGCAUUGUGUGUGCCUUUUGGUUUAUGCAAAAUAUUGAACUUUGUUUGUACAGAUGAGUUGGCAAGCCCAAGGUGGCUUCGUUGGCUUUGCAUAUGGCUUCGUUGGCUUUGCAUAUGGCUUCGUUGGCUUUGCAUGUGUGGAAUUGGAUAUAUGCGUGAUCAUUCAUUAUCAGUUCAUUCUCCUGGGUUCUAAAGGAUUUGUGACAGUUUUCUCGAGCAGUGUCCAAUUUUGUUAGUUGGAUUGCCAAUUGCUCUUAGUGAUAUGAAUUCAGCUGUCUUUGAUUAAAGAAUCUCUAUAUCUCAAAAUGUUGCACUUUGUUUGUACAGAUGAGGAUUUGGAAAGCACAGGGUGUCUUUUGGUUUAUUAUGCAAAUGUGUGGAAUUGGAUAUAUGCGUGAUCAUUCAUUAUUUUCUUUCUCUACGGCUCUAAAGGUUUUGUGACAGUUUUCUCGAGCAGCGUCCAAUUUUGGCAGUAGGAUUGUCAAUUGCUCUUCUUGAUUUGAAUUCAGCGCCGUCUUCGAUGAAAGAAUGUCUCUAUAGGUUUUAAGCAUUGUGCCUUUGGUUUAUGCAAAACGUUGUGCUUUGUUUGUACAGAUGAGUUGGUGGCAAGCACAGGAUGUCUUUAUGCUUGAUCAAUUCAUUUUCAGCCCUAUUCUGUUGAAUUCUUAAGGAUUUGUGACAUUUUUCUCGAAAUUUUCUUUACUGAGGUGAGUUAGCAACUACACCUGGAAGUUAUACAUAUUUGGGGUGAUGGGCUGUGUUUGUGCAAGACUAGUUCCCAAUAGAGUUUAAAGGAUUUGCGAAUAUGUUAAUUUUCUGAAUCCGGCCUUUUGUGAACAUAACUAAUGAAAAAAAGGGCAUUCAAUUUGAUUAUGUGCAGUGACUAGUUAAUUUCUAUAGUGAACGGUGGGUUAGCAACCACACGUGGAAAUUUUAUAUGGUUGGUGUUAUUGCCUAUGCUUGAAUUUUAUAUAGUCGGUGUAAUCAAGUUCCAAUGGAGUUUAAUGGAUUUGCGAAUCUGUUAAUUUCUGAACCUGGUCUUUUAUUGUGAACAGGAUUAAUCAAAGAGCAUUAAAUUUGUUAUUCAAGGUCUCAUCCCACACUCUUUAUGUUUCUUCCAUUGUACAUCUGGAUCGAAGUCGUUUAAGGUUUCAUCCCAUACCAUCUUAUUAUGUUUCUUCUAUUGUACUUCGGGUAGUUGUCUGUAGUGAACUUGACACAUGAAUUUGUUCAUUAGAUACUGAGUUUGUUAUUCGUGCGGGUAUUUUACAAAUUACUGUAGUGAAUGGUUGAAGCACGUGCUACUUGGUUGAGAGUUGAAAAUGAGGAAAGUUGUAGCUGUUGUAGAUUGUUGUGAGUGGCUUUUGCAUACAUGCGGACUUGGGCUUAUAUGCUUGAUCAUUGAUUAUCAGCCCUAUUCUGUUGGGUUCUGAAAGAUUUGUAACAGUUUUUUUGACAAGUGAAUUUUCCGUGACUUGUAGUAACAACAUCUGGCAAGUAUAUAAUAUAGGUGGGAUGAUGGGCUAUGCUUGAUUAUAAACGUUAAUUUUUGAAUCUUGUUUGUUUUGUGAGCUUGAUUAAUCUAAAGAGCAUUCAACUUGUUUUUGACGUCAACUUAGCUUUUUGCAGCGAAAUAAAAGGACGAAGCUUAGAAAGAUUUAUUCCCUCACCACAGUGAAGUAACAAUGAAGGAUAGAAGUGGUGCGAGGUUUCAUGCUUUUACUGUACAAACUUAUUCCCUCACCACAUUGAAAUAACAAUGAAGGAUUUAAGUGAUGCAAGAUUUUUCAUUUUUAACAGGCGUACGAUAUUUUUUCAGUUGGUACUUUUGGUAGUUGUCUGUAGUGAACAUCACAUAUGAAUUCAGUGAUCGAUUUUACAAAUUGUAGUCGGUGAUCGAUUGAUCCAGAUGCAGCUUCAAUGAUUCUGGGCUUCUUAGUUGAGAGCUGGAACUGAGUAAAGUUUUAUCUGUUGCAGAUUGCUGUAAGUGGUGAAGCGUUAAUAAGCAUUUCCCAUUAUAGCGUAGUUCCGAUUAUCCAUGUACUUAAUGUAAGAACAUAAUUUGAAUUUUCCAUGGCCCUAUUUUAUUAGCAGGGUUUUGUGUCCCAUAUAGCGUAGUUCCGAUUAUCCAUGUACUUAAUGGUUGUGAGUUUAUAGGCUUCAGCAUUUGCCCAGUCACCGGCUAAUGAUGCAUCUCCAGUUUUAUUUUGGCAGUUCUAUGGCAACAACUUAUCAUAUUGGUGUCAGAAGAUCGAAUUAAUUAUCAACAACUGCGGUCGUUGAUAGAACACUUUCGAUGUAAGGAUGAUUUAAUAAAAUAGCAGCCUUUUACAAGCUUUCACAA